This 207-nucleotide long non-coding RNA is filed under the name Nicotiana benthamiana. Its description in RNAcentral is "long non-coding RNA (NBEN_LNC035364)". The record is from RNAcentral. Lineage: Eukaryota; Viridiplantae; Streptophyta; Magnoliopsida; Solanales; Solanaceae.
UUUGAGAGUUAGAACACUUAAUGACUUGACGGAAGUUGAUUGGAUCAUCUUCCUCAAGUCCAAUAUCACUUUCUUGUUCUUGGAGAAAUACUACAUAAUAAUCCGAAAUUGUAUUUCUCCUCUCUCUAGUGGAUCUCCUUAAUGGCAUUUCAAUUUCUUAAGGUUGUUGAGUUUGAUUUUCAUUAGUUAUAUCAGGGUCCUGAUGGA